This 253-nucleotide ribosomal RNA is filed under the name uncultured bacterium. RNAcentral's name for it is "partial 16S ribosomal RNA". It matches the Rfam family "Bacterial small subunit ribosomal RNA", at positions 524 to 776 of the family's 1533-position model. The record is from RNAcentral.
UACGAAGGGGGCGAGCGUUGUUCGGAAUCACUGGGCGUAAAGGGCGCGUAGGCGGCCCUCCUUGUCGCGUGUGAAAGCCCCGGGCUCAACCUGGGAACGGCGCGCGAGACGGGGGGGCUGGAGUUCGGGAGAGGAGCGUGGAAUUCCCAGUGUAGAGGUGAAAUUCGUAGAUAUUGGGAGGAACACCAGUGGCGAAGGCGGCUCACUGGACCGGAACUGACGCUGAGGCGCGAAAGCGUGGGGAGCAAACAGG